Molecule: ribosomal RNA, 465 nt
Filed under: uncultured bacterium
Lineage: Bacteria
Description: partial 16S ribosomal RNA
Rfam family: Bacterial small subunit ribosomal RNA
Source: RNAcentral
GACGAACGCUGGCGGCGUGCUUAACACAUGCAAGUCGAACGGAAAGGCCCUGCUUGCCGGGUACUCGCGUGGCGAACGGGUGAGUAACACGUGGGUGAUCUGCCCUGCACUUCGGGAUAAGCCUGGGAAACUGGGUCUAAUACCGGAUAGGAGCCAUUUUUAGUGUGAUGGUUGGAAAGUUUUUUCGGUGUAGGAUGAGCUCGCGGCCUAUCAGCUUGUUGGUGGGGUAAUGGCCUACCAAGGCGGCGACGGGUAGCCGGCCUGAGAGGGUGGACGGCCACAUUGGGACUGAGAGACGGCCCAGACUCCUACGGGAGGCAGCAGUGGGGAAUAUUGCACAAUGGGCGCAAGCCUGAUGCAGCGACGCCGCGUGGGGGAUGACGGCCUUCGGGUUGUAAACGCCUUUCGCUAGGGACGAAGCGUUUUGUGACGGUACCUAGAGAAGAAGCACCGGCUAACUACGUG